UGUUGGUUUACUGAUUAAGCUUUUGUAUUUUGUUUGGUCCUGUGUUCGAGUUUCGGAGUAUGCAAUGGGGAACAUUUUUGCUAAAUGCUAAGAAUCUGAUUGGUAGUUAAUUGGGAUAUAACAUUAGUUAUUCUUCUUCUAUUUUCUUUUCUUCUUCUUCUUUACUUUUCUUUUCUUUUGUGAUUUUUUUUUCUUCUUUCUUCUUUAUUUUGAUUACUAUCGUAAGUGAAUACGGGACUAGUUAAAGUUUUACGCUAUUAGUUUCGUUGAUCGAAGGGUUACUAAGUAAGUUUCAUUGUCAAUUCGUUUAUUUUCGCGGUUUUUCCUUUUGUUCUUCGUAACAUGUUCUGAAUUGGGUGUUUCGAAUGUAUCAUGUAAUUUUCUAAUAGUCAAUCGUUUGGUUUCCCUAUUAGGUAAGGAUAUCGGAAGU
Molecule: long non-coding RNA, 430 nt
Filed under: Gossypium raimondii (Peruvian cotton)
Lineage: Eukaryota; Viridiplantae; Streptophyta; Magnoliopsida; Malvales; Malvaceae
Description: long non-coding RNA (GRAI_LNC008943)
Source: RNAcentral